Unclassified non-coding RNA from Bison bison bison, 323 nucleotides. Its record names the gene 7SK. It matches the Rfam family "7SK RNA". Rfam says of the family: 7SK was discovered as an abundant small nuclear RNA in the mid-70s but a possible function has only recently been suggested. Two independent studies have found that 7SK RNA binds the CDK9/cyclin T complex (known as elongation factor P-TEFb). The record is from Ensembl. NCBI's taxonomy places the organism in Eukaryota, Metazoa, Chordata, Mammalia, Artiodactyla, Bovidae.
GGAUAUGAGGGCGAUCUGGUUGCGACAUCUGUCACCCCAUUGAUCACCAGGGUUGAUUCGGCUGAUCUGGCUGGCUAGGCGGGUGUCCCCUUCCUCCCUCACCGCUCCAUGUGCAUCCCUCCCGAAGCUGCGCGCUGGGUCGAAGAGGCCGACCAUCCCCGAUAGAGGAGGACCGGUCUUUGGUCAAGGGUAUACGAGUAGCUGUGCUCCCCUGCUAGAACCUCCAAACAAGCUCUCAAGACUGUUAUUCUAACAUAUGAUCUAUGAGCAAUGUCUUUAUUAAAAUAAAAAUAUUUUUAUCUAGGAUAAUAUUGAACUAGGUU